CAGAAAAAAGCAUUUAGAUGCAUUUCACUUACACUGAAAAUAAACUACAGUAAGCAGUUUUUCUGA
This 66-nucleotide transfer RNA is filed under the name Phoronopsis harmeri. RNAcentral describes it as "tRNA-Val". Lineage: Eukaryota; Metazoa; Phoronida; Phoronidae. The record is from RNAcentral.